AGAGUUGAUCAUGGCUCAGGAUGAACGCUGGCGGCGUGCCUAACACAUGCAAGUCGAACGGGGUUAAGGGAAAUUUCGGAUGGAACUUAACUAGUGGCGGACGGGUGAGUAACGCGUGGAUAACCUGCCUCACACUGGGGGAUAGCAGCUGGAAACGGCUGGUAAUACCGCAUAAGACCCCGGUGCCGCAUGGCACCGAGGUAAAAGAUUUAUCGGUGUGAGAUGGAUCCGCGUCUGAUUAGCCAGUUGGCGGGUAACGGCCCACCAAAGCGACGAUCAGUAGCCGGCCUGAGAGGGUGAACGGCCACAUUGGGACUGAGACACGGCCCAAACUCCUACGGGAGGCAGCAGUGGGGAAUAUUGCACAAUGGGCGCAAGCCUGAUGCAGCAAACCGCCGCGUGAGUGAAGAAGUAUUUCGGUAUGUAAAGCUCUAUCGGCAGGGAAGAAAGGCCCGAAAGGGAGAUGACGGUACCUGACUAAGAAGCCCCGGCUAACUACGUGCCAGCCGCCGC
RNAcentral lists this ribosomal RNA (513 nucleotides) under uncultured bacterium. Its description in RNAcentral is "bacterial SSU rRNA". It matches the Rfam family "Bacterial small subunit ribosomal RNA", at positions 8 to 518 of the family's 1533-position model. The record is from RNAcentral.